AGUGAACGCUGGCGGUAGGCCUAACACAUGCAAGUCGAACGGCAGCACAGUAAGAGCUUGCUCUUACGGGUGGCGAGUGGCGGACGGGUGAGGAAUACAUCGGAAUCUACUUUUUCGUGGGGGAUAACGUAGGGAAACUUACGCUAAUACCGCAUACGACCUACGGGUGAAAGCAGGGGAUCUUCUGACCUUGCGCGAUUGAAUGAGCCGAUGUCGGAUUAGCUAGUUGGCGGGGUAAAGGCCCACCAAGGCGACGAUCCGUAGCUGGUCUGAGAGGAUGAUCAGCCACACUGGAACUGAGACACGGUCCAGACUCGUACGGGAGGAAGCAGUGGGGAAUAUUGGACAAUGGGCGCAAGCCUGAUCCAGCCAUACCGCGUGGGUGAAGAAGGCCUUCGGGUUGUAAAGCCCUUUUGUUGGGAAAGAAAAGCAGCAGGUUAAUACCCCGCUGUUCUGACGGUACCCAAAGAAUAAGCACCGGCUAACUUCGUG
Molecule: ribosomal RNA, 492 nt
Filed under: uncultured bacterium
Lineage: Bacteria
Description: partial 16S ribosomal RNA
Rfam family: Bacterial small subunit ribosomal RNA
Source: RNAcentral